RNAcentral lists this long non-coding RNA (577 nucleotides) under Gossypium raimondii (Peruvian cotton). RNAcentral's name for it is "long non-coding RNA (GRAI_LNC003574)". Lineage: Eukaryota; Viridiplantae; Streptophyta; Magnoliopsida; Malvales; Malvaceae. The record is from RNAcentral.
AGAUAUUAGAAAUCGAAAAGGGGAGGGGGGAAUAGUUUUUCUGUACUGGGAUUUUUAUUAGUUUUCCUCUUUCGGCUAUAAAAUCCGUUCUAAAUUCUGUAAAGGGGCCUCUUUUACACAGAUGUUGAAGACAAACAAAAAAAUCAAAGCAGAAAGUUUUUUUUCGAAAGGUGAUUUUCUCCGUUUUUUUUCUUUUUUUAUUUUCUUUGAUUAUUUGUUUUCUUCUUAGAACCAAACGAAAAUAAAAAAAGAGGAGGGAGUUAGAGGACUUACCUGGACGCCCUCGGAUCCGCACGAAAAGGAGCCGAAAAACCUUUUGUGGUGAGGCUCCGACCACCGUUCAUGGUGGAAUUGCGGCAGAGGAGUGGUGUAAAGAGCUAAGGCCGAAACCCUAGCGGAGAGUUUUCCUUUUUUUAUUUUUUUGUUGAUGCAAACUAUUUUUUUACAGAAACUAGGUUUAAAUAAUGCUUUGAUACGACGUCAUUUUAAGGCAAGGGCACCAGCGCCAAAACGACGCCGUUUGGUCCCUUGGCCUGCGCGGUGACCCGACCCAAGGGAAGGAUCCGCGCGUUUUGGG